Molecule: non-coding RNA, 117 nt
Filed under: Platyophrya macrostoma
Lineage: Eukaryota; Ciliophora; Colpodea; Cyrtolophosidida; Platyophryidae
Source: RNAcentral
AAUUGAUGGAAAGGGGGAAAAGAUAAAAAGAGAGAGAGGAUAGAAUUCAGGGAAGGCGUGAGCAAGAGAUGACCGUCCAUUACAUUUCUUUUUUUUUUUUUGUUUUUUUGACUCUCG